UAACUAACUAACUACUGUAGCUCCUUAGAGCUGACCAAACCCUCAUGUUGAGAGGUAACUAACUAACUACUGUAGCUCCUUACAGGUGACCAAACCCUCAUGUUGAGAGGGAACUAACUAACUAACUACUGUAGCUCCUUAGAGCUGACCAAACCCUCAUGUUGAGAGGUAACUAACUAACUACUGUAGCUCCUUAGAGCUGACCAAACCCUCAUGUUGAGAGGUAACUAACUAACUACUGUAGCUCCUUAGAGCUGACCAAACCCUCAUGUUGAGAGGUAACUAACUAACUACUGUAGCUCCUUAGAGCUGACCAAACCCUCAUGUUGAGAGGUAACUAACUAACUACUGUAGCUCCUUAGAGCUGACCAAACCCUCAUGUUGAGAGGUAACUAACUAACUAACUAACUACUGUAGCUCCUUAGAGCUGACCAAACCCUCAUGUUGAGAGGUAACUAACUAACUACUGUAGCUCCUUAGAAGUGACCAAACCCUCAUGUUGAGAGGUAACUAACUAACUACUGUAGCUCCUUAGAGCUGACCAAACCCUCAUGUUGAGAGGUAACUAACUAACUACUGUAGCUCCUUAGAGCUGACCAAACCCUCAUGUUGAGAGGUAACUAACUAACUAACUAACUAACUAACUAACUAACUAACUAACUAACUAACUACUGUAGCUCCUUAGAGCUGACCAAACCCUCAUGUUGAGAGGUAACUAACUAACUACUGUAGCUCCUUAGAGCUGACCAAACCCUCAUGUUGAGAGGUAACUAACUAACUACUGUAGCUCCUUAGAGCUGACCAAACCCU
Long non-coding RNA from Oncorhynchus keta (chum salmon), 810 nucleotides. RefSeq lists it as uncharacterized. The transcript is spliced from 3 exons. NCBI's taxonomy places the organism in Eukaryota, Metazoa, Chordata, Actinopteri, Salmoniformes, Salmonidae. The record is from RefSeq and is a predicted model, not a curated record.